RNAcentral lists this ribosomal RNA (2900 nucleotides) under Clostridioides difficile. Its description in RNAcentral is "bacterial LSU rRNA". It matches the Rfam family "Bacterial large subunit ribosomal RNA". The record is from RNAcentral. Lineage: Bacteria; Bacillati; Bacillota; Clostridia; Peptostreptococcales; Peptostreptococcaceae.
UGGUCAAGUUAUUAAGGGUGCAGGGCGGAUGCCUUGGCACUAGGAGCCGAUGAAGGACGUGAUAAGCUGCGAUAAGCUUCGGGGAGUUGCACGUAAACUUUGAUCCGAAGAUUUCCGAAUGAGGAAACUCACUUAGAGUAAUGUCUAAGUAUCAUUAAGUGAAUACAUAGCUUAAUGAGGGGAACUCAGGGAACUGAAACAUCUAAGUACCUGAAGGAAGAGAAAGAAAUUCGAUUCCGUAAGUAGCGGCGAGCGAACGCGGAUUAGCCCAAACCAAUAAAGUUUUCUUUGUUGGGGUUGCGGACAUAUCAUAACGAAGAGGUAUCGUAAUUGAAGAGGUUUGGAAAGACCCACCACAGAAGGUAAUAGUCCUGUAUGUUAAACGAGAAGACUUUAGAUAUGAUCCAGAGUACCACGGGACACGUGAAACCCUGUGGGAAGCAGGAGGGACCACCCUCCAAGGCUAAAUACUACCUAGUGACCGAUAGCGUAUAGUACCGUGAGGGAAAGGUGAAAAGAACCCCGGGAGGGGAGUGAAAUAGAACCUGAAACCCUGCACUUACAAGCUGUGGAAGCACAUUUCUUGUGUGACCGCGUACUUUUUGUAGAACGGGCCAACGAGUUACGUUAAGUAGCAAGGUUAAGCACUUAAGGUGCGGAGCCGUAGCGAAAGCGAGUUUUAACUGAGCGUUCAGUUACUUGACGUAGACCCGAAACCGGGCGACCUACCCAUGAGCAGGAUGAAGCGAAAGUAAAAUUUCGUGGAGGUCCGAACCCACGAGCGUUGAAAAGCUCGGGGAUGACUUGUGGGUAGCGGUGAAAUUCCAAUCGAGCCCGGAGAUAGCUGGUUCUCCCCGAAAUAGCUUUAGGGCUAGCCUCAAGGUGAGAGAUACGGAGGUAGAGCACUGAAUGUCCUAGGGGGUAUUGCACCUACCGAAGACUAUCAAACUCCGAAUGCCGUCAUCUUAUACUUGGGAGUCAGACUGUGGGUGAUAAGAUUCAUAGUCGAAAGGGCAACAGCCCAGAUCGUCAGCUAAGGUCCCUAAAUGUAAGUUAAGUGGUAAAGGAUGUGGGAUUGCACAGACAACCAGGAUGUUGGCUUAGAAGCAGCCACUCAUUCAAAGAGUGCGUAAUAGCUCACUGGUCGAGUGAUCCUGCGCCGAAGAUUUCCGGGGCUAAAACUUACUACCGAAGCUACGGCAUCAGUAAUGAUGGGUAGGGGAGCUUCCCAUACGGGUUGAAGCAUGACCGUAAGGACAUGUGGACAGUAUGGGAGUGAGAAUGUUGGCAUGAGUAGCGAGAUGUGGGUGAGAAUCCCACAGGCCGUAAACCCAAGGUUUCCAGGGGAAGGUUCGUCCGCCCUGGGUUAGUCGGGACCUAAGCUGAGGCCGAAAGGCGUAGGUGAUGGACAACAGGUUGAUAUUCCUGUACUACCGAUAACCGUUUGAGAGAAGGGAUGACACAGUAGGAUAAGCUAAGCACACUGUUGGUUAUGUGUGCCCAAGCAUUGAGGCAGUCAAAGUAGGCAAAUCCGCUUUGAUAAUGCUGGGAUGUGAUGGGGAGCGAAAUUUAGUAGCGAAGUAGCUGAUUUCACACUGUCAAGAAAAGUCUCUAUCGAGGUUAAAGGUACCCGUACCGCAAACCGACACAGGUGGGUGAGGAGAGUAUCCUAAGGCCAGCGAGAGAACUGUUGUUAAGGAACUCGGCAAAAUGACCCCGUAACUUAGGGAUAAGGGGUGCCACCAUCAGGUGGCCGCAGAGAAUAGGCCCAAGCGACUGUUUACCAAAAACAUAGGUUUCUGCUAAGUCGCAAGACGAUGUAUAGGAGCUGACGCCUGCCCGGUGCUGGAAGGUUAAGGGGAUCUGUUAGAGCAAUCGAAGCAGUGAACUUAAGCCCCAGUAAACGGCGGCCGUAACUAUAACGGUCCUAAGGUAGCGAAAUUCCUUGUCGGGUAAGUUCCGACCCGCACGAAAGGCGUAACGAUUUGGGCACUGUCUCAACAACAGACUCGGUGAAAUUGUAAUUCCGGUGAAGAUGCCGGAUACCUGCGACAGGACGGAAAGACCCCAUGGAGCUUUACUGUAGCUUGACAUUGGGUCUUGGUACUACAUGUACAGGAUAGGUGGGAGGCUUUGAAACCAGGACGCCAGUUUUGGCGGAGCCAUCCUUGGGAUACCACCCUUGUAGUACUGGGACUCUAACCAUAGGCCAUGAAUCUGGUCUUGGGACACUGUCAGGUGGGCAGUUUGACUGGGGCGGUCGCCUCCCAAAAGGUAACGGAGGCGCUCAAAGGUUCUCUCAGUACGGUCGGAAAUCGUACGUAGAGUGUAAAGGCAAAAGAGAGCUUGAUUGCAAGACAUACAGGUCGAGCAAGGAUGAAAAUCGGACUUAGUGAUCCGGUGGUUCUGCGUGGAAGGGCCAUCGCUCAACGGAUAAAAGCUACCCUGGGGAUAACAGGCUUAUCUCCCCCAAGAGUCCACAUCGACGGGGAGGUUUGGCACCUCGAUGUCGGCUCAUCACAUCCUGGGGCUGUAGUAGGUCCCAAGGGUUGGGCUGUUCGCCCAUUAAAGUGGUACGCGAGCUGGGUUCAGAACGUCGUGAGACAGUUCGGUCCCUAUCCGUCGCAGGCGUAGGAAAUUUGAGAAGACCUGUCCUUAGUACGAGAGGACCGGGAUGGACGUACCUCUGGUGUACCAGUUGUCCUGCCAAGGGCAUGGCUGGGUAGCUAUGUACGGAAUGGAUAAGCGCUGAAAGCAUCUAAGCGCGAAGCCAACUUCAAGAUAAGAUUUCCCACCGCAAGGGUAAGACCCCAGAAAGACUAUCUGGUUGAUAGGUCGAAGGUGUAAGUGCAGCAAUGUAUUUAGCUUAUCGAUACUAAUAGGUCGAGGACUUGACCAAU